CCUACGGGUGGCAGCAGGGAGGAAUAUUGGUCAAUGGGCGGAAGCCUGAACCAGCCAAGUAGCGUGCAGGAUGACGGCACUACGGGUUGUAAACUGCUUUUAUACGGGAAUAACGCGCCUUACGUGUAGGGCUUUGCAUGUACCGUAUGAAUAAGGACCGGCUAAUUCCGUGCCAGCAGCCGAGGUAAUACGGAAGGUCCGGGCGUUAUCCGGAUUUAGUGGGUUUAAAGGGAGCGUAGGCCGCAUGUCAAGCGUGCUGUGAAAGGUCCGGGCUCAACCCGGGCCUUGCAGCGCGAACUGGCGGGCUUGAGUCCGCGGGAGGCAGGCGGAAUUCGUCGUGUAGCGGUGAAAUGCUUAGAUAUGACGAAGAACCCCGAUUGCGAAGGCAGCUUGCUGCAGCGGAACUGACGCUGAUGCUCGAAAGCGCGGGUAUCGAACAGGAUUAGAUACCCCAGUAGUC
RNAcentral lists this ribosomal RNA (460 nucleotides) under uncultured bacterium. Its description in RNAcentral is "partial 16S ribosomal RNA". It matches the Rfam family "Bacterial small subunit ribosomal RNA", at positions 338 to 795 of the family's 1533-position model. The record is from RNAcentral.